This is a non-coding RNA of Brassica napus (rape), 101 nucleotides long. NCBI's taxonomy places the organism in Eukaryota, Viridiplantae, Streptophyta, Magnoliopsida, Brassicales, Brassicaceae. The record is from Rfam.
UGGUAUAUGGUGAUGAUACAAUUAUGUUGUGGACUAGAGUUUCAGAUCUGGGCACUUCACCCAGAAGUUGAAGAGUAACCCUUGGCUGUCUGAGUAUACCC